Molecule: ribosomal RNA, 694 nt
Filed under: uncultured bacterium
Lineage: Bacteria
Description: bacterial SSU rRNA
Rfam family: Bacterial small subunit ribosomal RNA
Source: RNAcentral
CACGGGUGAGUAACACGUAUCCAACCUGCCUCAUACUCGGGGAUAGCCUUUCGAAAGAAAGAUUAAUACCCGAUGUCAUAGUCCUACCGCAUGAUGGGAUUAUUAAAGAAUUUCGGUAUGGGAUGGGGAUGCGUUCCAUUAGUUAGUUGGCGGGGUAACGGCCCACCAAGACAACGAUGGAUAGGGGUUCUGAGAGGAAGGUCCCCCACAUUGGAACUGAGACACGGUCCAAACUCCUACGGGAGGCAGCAGUGAGGAAUAUUGGUCAAUGGACGAGAGUCUGAACCAGCCAAGUAGCGUGAAGGAUGACUGCCCUAUGGGUUGUAAACUUCUUUUAUAUGGGAAUAAAAUGUUCCACGUGUGGGAUUUUGUAUGUACCAUAUGAAUAAGGAUCGGCUAACUCCGUGCCAGCAGCCGCGGUAAUACGGAGGAUCCGAGCGUUAUCCGGAUUUAUUGGGUUUAAAGGGAGCGUAGGUGGAUUGUUAAGUCAGUUGUGAAAGUUUGCGGCUCAACCGUAAAAUUGCAGUUGAAACUGGCAGUCUUGAGUACAGUAGAGGUGGGCGGAAUUCGUGGUGUAGCGGUGAAAUGCUUAGAUAUCACGAAGAACCCCGAUUGCGAAGGCAGCAUACCGGUGCACAACUGACGCUCAGGCACGAAAGCGUGGGUAGCAAACAGGAUUAGAUACCCUGGUAGU